AUUUUAUUAUUAGUUCUAAUACUACUACUACAUUUGGGGUUCAAGAAAUCAUUUGAAUUUUUUAUCCUUAACCAUAUAAAGAAUAGUUAUUCAGAUAUGCUUAAAAGAGCAGGCCAAAACUAUGCCUGCCCCACGUCCAAAUGAACAUGUAAUCAAGAGCAAGACCUGGGCCAUUUGUGAUGGCACUAAGGCCCAAAUUAUCAGAGAUGGGCUGUUUGGCCUUGCUUUCUUACACCAAACCCAGUCCCAACUAAAAAAAAGAAAUAUUCACUAAGAAUAUCCAUAUUGUUCAAAAGUGUUUAAUAAUUGCAAUCAAAGAAAAGCCAUGUUCACCUAUUCGAAUUUAGUGAAAGAGGGACCAUUAGAAUCCUGGCUUUAAGACUCGGAUUGCUUAUCUAGUUACUAGAAACCGAUCGUGACAACACAAAGCAAAUCUGAUUAUUUCUAGGUUGAUUCGAGCCAAGAUUGCUGAACGAAAUUACUGAACUUGCUAUUGAAAUGGAAAACAUGAUUAUCAAAUGGAUUUAACUUAUGCUACCUUAAAUUAUUAACAUGGAAAUGAUGAGCUCAAACUCCAGAUUUACUGCCCAGUUUGCUCAAGUAUUUACCUACUCAUAUGUUUCAUCACACAUAAGGAACAUCAUUGAGACUAUAUUUGUAUCAAGGCUGAUUAUUCACAUAUCUAAUACAAAUUUGAUAACUCAACAUCUAGAACCAGGCUGUUUACUUAAGGAAAACUAGACUACAUAUGAAAGCUUCAAAUAAUUGUGACUGCUUCAUGUUCAGAACCAAACGAAAAUGAGACAGGUUUAAAGACCAAUUCCCUCAGCACAUAAAAUGACAGCCAACACCUAAAACAGCCCAAGCAUAGUCCAGUCUCAGUCAAAUUACAAUUGUAUACAAAUUGGAACUAAAAUACAUAAAGCUAUUGUGUUUAAACUAUUUAGGCAUCAGUACAUGUAGUCCAAACAGAUAAGAUUCAAGAAGCAAAAGGUAAGUAUUUCCAUUUGUAUUCCCACUUCAAAUCAGCACCAAUAUAUCAGGAAAGAAAGCAAAUACCUGGACUGGAAAAAGAGAACAAAAGAAGGAAGAGCAGUCAGCAGCAACGGAUAACACAGUAUCACCAACGGAAAAUCACCAGCAGUAAUGGAAUAGUUUAAACAAAAACCAACACAGCAAUACCACUCUCCAAAUCAGAAAUACACUCAAACCAAAGACCAUAUUGAUUUGUAGAACCAAACAGCAAUACUGAUACCAAAACAGAACAAACUGAGCUCGGAUAAGUUCAUAAACAGAAUCAAUAGACUGCCAAAUAGAUUCAACAAUCAAAAGGGGUAAGAAGUAGUGCUUGGAAUCCAAAUUUUGCCUUGAACUCAAUGGAACAAUACCCUUUCUUUUAAAUUCUCUCUCAGAAUUGAUUCAAGACCCAAGACAAAUAGAACCUAAGAGAAUUGAUUGCUUCUUUCCUAAAACUUAUGAUAUUCUUUCAAGUUUGACCUAUGAAAACUGAUUUCAAAAGCCCGCCCCUUAACUUUGUCGUAAGCCCCUCCAUCUAUACUCAAAUCCUUUCACCCUUUUCAGCCCUUCUUUUUCUUUUAAUGUUGAAAAAGAAACCCUUUUAUUAUUACCCCAUGCUUCUUUUUUACUUUCCAGCUUUAUCUAUUCUUCUAAUAUGUGAACCCUUUUAGCUUUUUCAUUAUUACUUACUGUUUUUAAUUUCUAAAUUAGUAAAAAACAUUCAACAGAUUAUUACUCCCACAACCCAUUAGAGCCCUACUUAUUACUCAGUGGCCCCUUAUUAAUAAAGCAUUAGUUUAAGGGUACAUCAGGACCCUACUCGACAGACUACCCAGUAAAACCCUAUUUUCAAACUUCCAGUCUAUCCAAAAUACCCUUGACAAACCCUGACCCCAUACUAUACCUCAUUAGCUAUAACCAAAUACACCUAAUAAAACUCAAUAAACAGUUUAAACUAGAACUUAGAUUAGAUCAAAAAUGGUAUAAAAAAUGAAGGGAAUAAGGUAACCAUAUUGGGAACCAAUCAUGGUUAACUUAGACAAAAUGAAUGUGCCAGAAAAACACCAAUAUGAUGAACAACAGGAACAAACUGAAACAGUAUGAUGCACAAACAGAACGAAGAGUGAGCUUAUCAUCAUUCUAAAUCAAACCUAUACAAAAAUGUAGGGUCACUUGACAGUGAACUAAAUGCCUAAGGAUCAGACAUAACACAUUCUACAUUAAACCAUUCGACGAGAACUACUGAGCUUCAAACAAGAAUGAAUUAAUUGAGGAAACUAUUUAUAACCUAUGUUAUCAAGUGUCAGGAGAUACCAAGUAAAAGGUAUGAUGGAGAGGAAGAAGAGAAAUAAACAAAAGAUGAAUUAUAAACCUAUUUUAGGCAAACAAAUAAUCGAUUGAACUAUUCAGACGAAUAUUGGAGUAUUAAUCUAACAAAAAUAAGAAAGAGAGGCGGAUUAAGAACCUAUAAUUAACUUAAACUAAAACCUAAGAAAAGCUAAUUAAAACUUAACACAAACAAACGAAAAUAUAUAUAGAAAAAAGAAAAAGAAGAUAUUAAAGAAAACUUAUUGAUUUUUCGGAUUCCAAACGACAUGCUAUUCGAAGUCGAUUUCCAGUUAGUAUUAUAUGCCUAUUUCGUCAGAAACAUGCCUAUAAUACUAACUAGAAACCAACUUGACCCUGACAACUUCGAAGCAGUCUCGAACCCCUGAACCCUAGAUCCGUCAUUUGAUGAGUUUAAUCGAAUUUAGACCAAAUUGGUAAAGGAUUAGGGGAGAGGGUGUUCUGGUGGAUAGCGGGUGUGAUUUUGGGUGGAUUGGACGACCUAGGGUUUUCGCUCGAAUCUUCGAUUGAAGAUUCGAGACGGUUCGUGAUGAUUCGAGUUUAACGAAGUAUGUAUUAGGACUGAGGGGGGUCAGAUGGUCAAGGGGUGUUAGUUUCUGGCCGGCGGAUCACCGGCCGUUGGGUUUCAGGCGAGAGGAUUCAAUGGCGGCUAGGGUUCUUAGAGAGACCAAAUGGUCUCUGGUCUAUGAUCUAAGAGACGAAGGGGGAGGGUGUUUGGCUAUGGGGGUGAGUAAAGGAUUUAGGUUUAUAUACGAAGGGGGAAAAUGAUCCUGGCCGUUAGUCCUGCUAAGAUCAACUGCUA
Molecule: long non-coding RNA, 3166 nt
Filed under: Nicotiana benthamiana
Lineage: Eukaryota; Viridiplantae; Streptophyta; Magnoliopsida; Solanales; Solanaceae
Description: long non-coding RNA (NBEN_LNC002991)
Source: RNAcentral